AAGUGUUCUUGGCUAAGCUGAUUGAUAUCCAUUUAUUUUUUGAUGUACAUGAUCAAUAUGAUAAUUUGGUGCCAUUGUUACAAGACAUAUUUCUGGCAGUUGACUUGUAGUGUUACCACAUUUUAUCAAUGAACAAAGAAAAGGCACUAAUAAUCUUUACUGGUAUCCUGGAUGUGUUGUCUUAUCGUAGGAGCCAAGUUCAUUUAUGUGUUGUCUUUAGUAUGCAGAAUUUGAAAGCAGGCUUUGAAAAAUAGCACCAAGCUUGAGAUUACAAAAAGAUUCAAUUUACAACAAUUUUAUUAUCACAGUUUUGUCUGAAUACAUACGGAUGUUCGGUGAUUCUACAUGAUCGUGACUUUACUACAAUUUUAUUAUCACAGUUUUGUUUGGCUACAAUUUUUGAUGUCCACAAACUUAACACAGAAAAGGCAAUAAUGAUCUUUACUGGUAUCAAGUGAUUCUCACUAAAUGCCAUUGAUACAAGACAUCUUUCUUGCAUUUGACUUGUAGUGUUACCACAUUUUAUCAAUGAACAAAGAAAAGUCAUUAAUGAUCUAUACUGGUAUCCUGGUUGUGUUGUCUAAUCAUAGAAGCGAACUGGCCCACUUUGCUAAGUAAUAAGGACAGUUUAGUUACUUUAUGUGUUGCCUCUAGUAUGCAGAAUUUGAAAGAAGGCUUUAAAAUUUUCAAAUUGUAUGAUCAUAUUGUUGUUCGGUGUAUCUCCAUGAUAUUGACUUUUCUAGCUCUGCUGUUCGCGCCUCCCAGGACGCCGGCUGAGGAGACAAGUGCAAAAUACAACACCCCCGCCAAGACGCCAGACCUCGGCCUCCCUCUGGUUUUCAUGGACGCCGGUUGAGGAGACAAGUGCAAAAUACAACACCCCCGCCAAGACGCCAGACCUCGGCCUCCCUCUGGUUUCAUGGAUACUGAAGUCUCACUCAUGACGUAUGUGAGAUGGCCAUUUUGAAAGCACUACCAACUUGCAAUGAUAUGUGUGUAUUAGAUGUGAUGGGAGUAUGAGAUGCGAUGGGUGUAUGAGAUGUGAUGGCUGUAUGAGAUACAUAUAUUUCGUCGGCGUCUCCUCGAAAACGAUCAGCGCCGGAUCCUGGACGUGUUUGGCGGCGGUGGAUCAAUGCAUCAGCGUGCG
Molecule: long non-coding RNA, 1147 nt
Organism: Aegilops tauschii subsp. strangulata
Lineage: Eukaryota; Viridiplantae; Streptophyta; Magnoliopsida; Poales; Poaceae
Source: RefSeq, a predicted model, not a curated record